This 69-nucleotide transfer RNA is filed under the name Bos taurus (domestic cattle). It matches the Rfam family "tRNA". From Rfam's summary of the family: Transfer RNA (tRNA) molecules are approximately 80 nucleotides in length. Their secondary structure includes four short double-helical elements and three loops (D, anti-codon, and T loops). Further hydrogen bonds mediate the characteristic L-shaped molecular structure. tRNAs have two regions of fundamental functional importance: the anti-codon, which is responsible for specific mRNA codon recognition, and the 3' end, to which the tRNAs corresponding amino acid is attached (by aminoacyl-tRNA synthetases). tRNAs cope with the degeneracy of the genetic code in two manners: having more than one tRNA (with a specific anti-codon) for a particular amino acid; and 'wobble' base-pairing, i.e. permitting non-standard base-pairing at the 3rd anti-codon position. The record is from Rfam by way of RNAcentral. Lineage: Eukaryota; Metazoa; Chordata; Mammalia; Artiodactyla; Bovidae. RNAcentral also lists the same sequence under 3 other names.
CCUGAUAGCUCAGUUGGUAAAGAAUCUGCCUUCAGUGCAGAAGACCAGGGUUCAAUCCCUGGGUCAGGA